GACGAACCGUGCGAACGUUGUUCGGAAUCACUGGGCUUAAAGGGCGCGUAGGCGGGCUCAAAAGUCAGGGGUGAAAUCCCACGGCUCAACCGUGGAAGUGCCUUUGAUACUGUGAGUCUCGAGGGAGGUAGGGGCGUGCGGAACUUCCGGUGGAGCGGUGAAAUGCGUUGAUAUCCAGAGGAACUCCGGUGGCGAAGGCGGCACGCUGGACCCCGUCUGACGCUGAGGCGCGAAAGCGUGGGGAGCAAACAGGG
This 254-nucleotide ribosomal RNA is filed under the name uncultured bacterium. RNAcentral's name for it is "partial 16S ribosomal RNA". It matches the Rfam family "Bacterial small subunit ribosomal RNA", at positions 524 to 777 of the family's 1533-position model. The record is from RNAcentral.